Molecule: RNA transcript, 2476 nt
Organism: Camelina sativa (false flax)
Lineage: Eukaryota; Viridiplantae; Streptophyta; Magnoliopsida; Brassicales; Brassicaceae
Gene name: cell cycle checkpoint protein RAD17
Source: RefSeq, a predicted model, not a curated record
UAAACGGUGUCGUUUGUUCGACCCGCGAAAAAACUAGAGAGCGAUGAAAAAGAUGACUGGGGAGCCAAAUUCGACAAGGUGAGUGACGACUCGGUGGACACCUAAGGCCCUGAGGAGGAUCCGGUUAACCGGAUAUUUCCUGCUCAUCUGAAAAUCGGCAUUGGUUAACCGAGUGGUCAAGUUCCGGUCGUCUUCCCGUAAACGGUAAACCCUAGGCGAUUGGGAUUUCUCUUUCUGAAAGGUUCCGGCGAUGGGAAUAAAAGGAAAUCAAAUGGUUAACCUAUCGAUGGAAGACGAAGAUGACGAUACCUCUGCGUAUAACUUAAGGUCAUCGCGGUCUAAUGCCAAGUCGAAAUCUGGUGCUAGUACCAGAACCACGAAUCCUAGACCGACCAAGAGAGCUCGACUCUCGGGUGCUACUACAGAGUCGAGUCAUGUUGAUGAGAUUAGUUUGUCUUUCCAAGGUUUCGAUGAAGCUUUAAGCGUCUUCAAGGAUUCUUCCGGUUAUCAAAGGACCAACAAUACGGAUUUAUGGGUUGACAAAUACAGCCCUCGCACCUUGGAAGAGCUUGCUGUUCACAAGAAGAAGGUUGAAGAAGUUAAAUUGUGGUUUGAGAAGAGUUUGGAUUUCUCAAAGCAGGAUGGUUUUGGGAAUAGCAAUGUUCUACUACUCAAAGGGCAAGCUGGAGUCGGAAAAUCUGCUACUAUCCAUUUGAUUUCUUCUAUCCUUGGAGUCACUGUGUAUGAGUGGAACGCUCCUAUUCCUACAAUCUGGCAGGAACAUGUGCACAACUCAAGUUCAGGACUGAAGUACACGUCGAAGCUGGAUGAGUUUGAAAACUUUGUUGAGAGUACUAGGAAAUACGGAGUGAUGGCUUCAUCAAGUACUGAGGGAAUGAAGGAGCCUGUUCUUCUUUUGAUUGAUGACCUUCCUCUAGCCAAUGGGAGGCAUGCAUUUGAAAGGCUACACAACUGCUUAACUCUCUUGGUGAGAUCAACGCAGAUUCCAACUGUGGUAUUAAUCACUGACUACGAUAAAGGCGACUCUUCUGACCAGACUGCGCGAAGCAUGGAGGACCUUCAGUCAUCUCUUGAGCGAGCAGGGGCUUUAAAGGUCGCUUUCAAUCCCAUUACGAAGAACUCAAUUAAAAAGGCACUUCAGAGAAUAUGUAGGGAAGAGCACUGUAAGGUAACGACUAUGGAGAUUGAUCAGAUGGCGAGUGCCAGUGGAGGCGACAUCAGACAUGCUAUUACAUCUUUGCAACUCUUCUCCGUUAAGCCAGACCUAAAUCAUACUAAGAUAAAAUCACCUCGGCCUGGCAUGGAUGACACUUGUUAUGGAAACGAGCAGACAAUGUACAGUGUUUUGGAUAGUGGAAUAUCUUCCUGUUUUGGUAGAGAUGAGACCCUUUCGUUGUUUCACGCUCUGGGCAAGUUUCUCCACAACAAAAGAGAGACUGAUAAUGUCAUUGUAUCAGAUUGCAGCGACUCUCAUGUGCAUGACCAGUUUGCAAGGUUGCCACUGAAAAUGGAUGCGCCGGAAAAGGUUCUCAGCCAAGCUCAUGGACAGGCAGGAAGGGUUGUGGAUUUUCUGCAUGAAAAUGUGCUAGAUUUUGUGAGUGAAAGUGCCAUUGAAGAUGCAUGGUGUGUUUCUUCGUAUUUGGCGGAUGCUGAUCUCCUUCUCGCAGAUAUAAGAGGAAAGAUGAGUGGACAUAACAAAACAGAGGACGUGCUUCAGUCAGCUGGUGCCUCGGUUGCUAUUCGUGGUGUGUUGUAUGGAAACAAGCAGCCAUGGUCAUCCAGAUGGCACGUAAUUCGGAAGCCAAAACUCUGGCAAGUGGAGCAAUCCUCAAUACAAACUAAGAAGAAUCUGAGAGAGCAGAGGAACAUAGGCUAUGAGGGCGCUAGAAUGACAGAUAUAUCAGUGAUGGCCACAGAUUACUGCCCGGUACUGAAAUGGCUAAGCUACAGGACAUCUCCAGAUGCGUGUGCAGGAAUGAUCGAAGAGACGGAUGAGGAAGAGAGUGAAAUUUCUGAAGAUGAUGAAAUACAAGACUGGUGACGUUUACUAUCUUCAGGCUCUUAUAUGUUAGGUUCAAUGAAACUGCAUUAAAUUGGGUUCAAGUUCCUUACCGAAAAGGUGGUUGAGUUGAACAAUAUUGAGAAACAGAAGCAGCGAUCAAUUAUUGGUUAGGUCACAACACCAGUCCUUCUCAAGCCCAAAGUUACAUUCACACCUCACAAAGCAGCUUGUCUAAACAACAAGCAAGGCUUUGCCUUCAUGUUAUUACAACAAUUGCCGGACGACGACGGAGGGCUUUUUAGGAACUGAAAGAGAGUUUCAACGGCUGCAAAAUUUGGAAGAGGAAACGAGUUCAAUGCUGCCCGCCCGGUCAAGAAUUUAUUACCUACUUUGUUUGUUUUUUUGACAUAUGUCGAAAACCGUUUAUAGCCAAUACAUGUUCAUUGAUGAUAC